GAUGAACGCUGGCGGCGUGCCUAAUACAUGCGAGUCGAGCGAACGGACGAGAAGCUUGCUUCUCUGAUGUUAUCGGCGGACGGGUGAGUAACACGUGGAUAACCUACCUAUAAGACUGGGAUAACUUCGGGAAACCGGAGCUAAUACCGGAUGAUAUUUUGAACCUCAUUGUUCAAAAGUGGAAGACGGUCUUUCUGUCACUUAUAGAUGGAUCCGCGCUGCAUUAGCUAGUUGGUAAGGUAACGGCUUACCAAGGCAACGAUGCAUAGCCGACCUGAGAGGGUGAUCGGCCACACUGGCACUGAGACACGGUCCAGACUCUGACGGGAGGCAGCAGUAGGGAAUCUUCCGCAAUGGGCGAAAGCCUGACGGAGCAACGCCGCGUGAGUGAUGAAGGUCUUCGGAUCGUAAAACUCUGUUAUUCGGGAAGAACAUAUGUGUAAGUAACUGUGAACAUAUUGACGGUACCUAAUCAGAAAGCCACGGCUAACUCCGUG
RNAcentral lists this ribosomal RNA (497 nucleotides) under uncultured bacterium. RNAcentral's name for it is "partial 16S ribosomal RNA". It matches the Rfam family "Bacterial small subunit ribosomal RNA", at positions 28 to 507 of the family's 1533-position model. The record is from RNAcentral.